Cyprinus carpio (common carp) is the source of this 1681-nucleotide long non-coding RNA. The record is from Ensembl. NCBI's taxonomy places the organism in Eukaryota, Metazoa, Chordata, Actinopteri, Cypriniformes, Cyprinidae.
AAUCAAAAAAGUGCAUGAUAAAUAAAGAUAUUGUCUCUCAAAAGAGAGAGUCGGUUCCGAAUCGCCUUAACGAGUCAUUAUAUUUUCGAAUCUUUUGCCUGUUACCGGUAUACGUCACUGGGUAACAUAUUUGCAUAAUCCCCGCCUGCCCGCGAAAUACAAACAGAGUCUGACCUGCCCACAAACACUUCCGCUAGUUUAUGUGUUUACAUCAUGUUUAAGAAGACGCUGUGUUCAAGGAUACCGCAGAAAUACAAUUCGAACUAGGGAUGUCAAUUUUCGAUCAUUUCUAUGAUCGAUCUCAUUUAAAUUAACAAUCAAUUAAUCGAUUAAUCUUUAACCUUAAUGCUGCAAAAUGCAUCUAUUGCAGUGAUAUGCAGUCACCAGUAUGACAGGAUGUACAAAAGCCACUAAAAUAAAAUCAUCCUAAACAUAAGCCUAACUGUGGCACGUGUGACUGUGCUGUGCAGUCAGAGAACCACUUCCAUCGGCGCUGCUGCAGCAAAACACACUGUUGCUCACAUCAAACAUUUUUAUUGGAGUAUUAUGACCAGUACUUAAUUUGAUCCUGCUUGGUUCUGUUCCAGAAAAUGCCAGAUUUUGAAUUUUUGCGUUCAGCAUUCUCUUGGAGCAGGCCAGUUGAAACCACGACUAUCCACCAGGAAAUGAAAUGGCGUAUCAGACCACAACAACCAUUGCUGGGAAGCAAGGGAAGCCGCAGCUCUGCAGGGCUUCAGGCUGAGCUGGUAUGCGAGUUGGCAGCGUUGAUGUGUAGCUGCUGUGCUUAUGCUGUGUAACUGAGAACCUGUGUGAACAGAAUCAGCCCUUCGGAGCCGAUUUACCCUGACAAGGCCUCCCAGAGUUAAACUCUCUAUCUCUGCCUCUCUAAGACAAUUUUUAGCUGUGUGUUUUCAGUUUUCCAGAGGACAUUUUUUCUUUUCUUGAAGGACGAUAAGAGUUGUAAAUGGAGAGUAAAGGAGGGGGUUGGGGUGACAUGGUGGCCUGUGGGACUAUUAAAUUGUUCCCCUUUUAAGGCAAAUUCCACUCGUGCCUCCUUGGCCCCUCUUGUUUCCCUCCCUCCUCUUUUCCUGUUCUCUGUCCUUCUCUGAAUGCACACAUAAACCAACUCUCUGAACACCAAUGUCCCUAUAACUACUUUAUCAGGUACAACCAUGUUGUUGUGACUUUACAGGUACCCAUGAGACAUGCCUGGAAACAUCAUCUAUUGAAAAUUCUGGAAAAUAACAUUAACACAUCAGUCAUGUAGCAUGUUUCCAUGCAGCCUAGAAAUUUGUUAGGACUUGAUGCAAAUACAUUUUAACCUGUCUGAAAGAGGUAAUCCUACAGAUUUUUUUUUUAAUUCAAUGAUAUAUUGCCUUAUUGUUCCAAGCCUGUAUGAUUUUAAUUGAAAACUGGAACCAAUGUUGGUAUAUGUGCCUGCUCAAACACUGCAACAAACUAAAAUUGCACAUUUCACCUUUAAAUUCACACAGUCUUGUUUCAUAAGAUAAGCUCAGACAAAACUAUGGCCACGCAAGCACUUUUUCCAUAAAACUAAGUGCAGGGAAAACUAACGAAUAUAUUUAAAAAAGCAAAGCCAGGCAUUUUUAAGAGUAACACGUCAAAUAGAGAACUGAAUGAUCUAUGGACUGAUCCUAAUAAAAUGUGUUUGUCUGAUACA